ACCCGCUGAACUUAAGCAUAUCAAUAAGCGGAGGAAAAGAAACCAACAGGGAUUGUCUUAGUAACGGCGAGUGAAGCGACAAAAGCUCAAAUUUGAAAUCUGGCACCUUCGGUGUCCGAGUUGUAAUUUGAAGAAGGUAACUUUGGAGUUGGCUCUUGUCUAUGUUCCUUGGAACAGGACGUCACAGAGGGUGAGAAUCCCGUGCGAUGAGAUGUCCAACUCUAUGUAAAGUGCUUUCGAAGAGUCGAGUUGUUUGGGAAUGCAGCUCUAAGUGGGUGGUAAAUUCCAUCUAAAGCUAAAUAUUGGCGAGAGACCGAUAGCGAACAAGUACAGUGAUGGAAAGAUGAAAAGAACUUUGAAAAGAGAGUGAAAAAGUACGUGAAAUUGUUGAAAGGGAAGGGUUUGAGAUCAGACUUGGUAUUUUGUAUGUCUUGCUUUCGGGUGGGGCCUCUGCAGUUUACUGGGCCAGCAUCGGUUUGGACGGUAGGAUAAUGACAUUGGAAUGUGGCACUACUUCGGUGGUGUGUUAUAGA
RNAcentral lists this ribosomal RNA (533 nucleotides) under Scheffersomyces sp. BG090908.5.7.1.3.28. RNAcentral describes it as "eukaryotic LSU rRNA". It matches the Rfam family "Eukaryotic large subunit ribosomal RNA", at positions 23 to 563 of the family's 3401-position model. Lineage: Eukaryota; Fungi; Ascomycota; Pichiomycetes; Serinales; Debaryomycetaceae. The record is from RNAcentral.